CGGUUUCGGUUUUUUUCCCGGUUUCGGUUCUAAAACCGGUUUUUUUGUACGCCUCUACUUGGGCCUGAACCUCCCGACCUCGCGCAUACUAAAGCCUCGAUACAAAAUAAGCUAAAAAAUUACUAAGUUUUUUUAAAUUUUCAACACGCCUGUUGUCGCAAAAAUUUAAUAACUUUGAAUGUUACGUGUUUUCAGCACCGACAAGCUGGAGACUACCGUAUCCCGUGGGUGGGGAGUUGUACUAUAUUGUAAAGGUAACUACUAGCAAUGAAAAUGCAAGCUAUUGGCUAUUUAGAGCUCCAUAGAACGCUUGUUAUAGCAUUAAUGUAAGUUAAAGAUGGAAGAAGGGGAGAGAACGUCUUUUUAUCUUUCAACCAUAGUUGUGAAAAGCACACAAUGCUGGGCGCAGAAGCGCAACCCAACCAAGCGCACAAGACUUGAAAGCCCACGCUUUAUGUCCAAAUUCAGGUGUUUUUAGGGAAAGUUGGAGAAGUGUCUAGGUAGUUGUGAAGUGGGAAAAUGGCUAAAAGUUUUAGUGCGGAGUUUGAGGUCAUCAAAAUAUUAGAAGGAUUGUUGAACGAACAAUGGUCUGGGAGUGAUCUUAUGCUAGCCGGUCAUCAUUAUAUUACCUCCUUUUGUACAUGCAGUUUGUAUCUAUUCAUGUUCAUACAACGCUUGGACUCGAUGUCUAUAUUUAGGGUUCUCUCUUUCGGCUACUCUAUCGAGUGCUGAUGCUGUAAUGAAUCAAAGGAAUAUUGGACAGUCUGGCUUCUGGGAUAUAUGUAUGUG
Helianthus annuus (common sunflower) is the source of this 789-nucleotide long non-coding RNA. RefSeq lists it as uncharacterized. The transcript is spliced from 4 exons. NCBI's taxonomy places the organism in Eukaryota, Viridiplantae, Streptophyta, Magnoliopsida, Asterales, Asteraceae. The record is from RefSeq and is a predicted model, not a curated record.